GCCAGGUGCAGUGGCUUGCACCUGUAGUCCCAACUACUCAGGAGGCUGAGAGGGGAGGAUCACUUGAGCUCAGGAGUUCGAGGCUGCAGUGAGCCGAGAUCGCACCACUGCACUCCUGCCUGGGUGACAGAGUGAGACCCUGUCUCAA
RNAcentral lists this signal recognition particle RNA (148 nucleotides) under Pan paniscus (pygmy chimpanzee). RNAcentral describes it as "Metazoan signal recognition particle RNA". It matches the Rfam family "Metazoan signal recognition particle RNA". Rfam says of the family: The signal recognition particle (SRP) is a universally conserved ribonucleoprotein. RNAcentral also lists the same sequence under 1 other name. The record is from Rfam by way of RNAcentral. Lineage: Eukaryota; Metazoa; Chordata; Mammalia; Primates; Hominidae.